Molecule: ribosomal RNA, 252 nt
Filed under: uncultured bacterium
Lineage: Bacteria
Description: partial 16S ribosomal RNA
Rfam family: Bacterial small subunit ribosomal RNA
Source: RNAcentral
UACGUAGGUCCCGAGCGUUGUCCGGAAUUACUGGGUGUAAAGGGUGCGUAGGCGGUCCGUUAAGUCAGCGGUAAAAUUGCGGGGCUCAACCCCGUCGAGCCGUUGAAACUGUCAGACUUGAGUUGGCGAGAAGUACGCGGAAUGCGCGGUGUAGCGGUGAAAUGCAUAGAUAUCGCGCAGAACUCCGAUUGCGAAGGCAGCGUACCGGCGCCACACUGACGCUGAGGCACGAAAGCGUGGGGAUCGAACAGG